This 492-nucleotide ribosomal RNA is filed under the name uncultured bacterium. RNAcentral's name for it is "partial 16S ribosomal RNA". It matches the Rfam family "Bacterial small subunit ribosomal RNA", at positions 29 to 507 of the family's 1533-position model. The record is from RNAcentral.
AGUGAACGCUGGCGGUAGGCCUAACACAUGCAAGUCGAACGGCAGCACAGUAAGAGCUUGCUCUUACGGGUGGCGAGUGGCGGACGGGUGAGGCAUACAUCGGAAUCUACUUUUUCGUGGGGGAUAACGUAGGGAAACUUACGCUAAUACCGCAUACGACCUACGGGUGAAAGCAGGGGUUCUUCGGACCUUGCGCGAUUGAAUGAGCCGAUGUCGGAUUAGCUAGUUGGCGAGGUAAGGGCCCACCAAGGCGACGAUACGUAGCUGGUCUGAGAGGAUGAUCAGCCACACUGGAACUGAGACACGGUCCAGACUCCUACGGGAGGCAGCAGUGGGGAAUAUUGGACAAUGGGCGCAAGCCUGAUCCAGCCAUACCGCGUGGGUGAAGAAGGCCUUCGGGUUGUAAAGCCCUUUUGUUAGGAAAGAAAAACAGCAUGUGUAUACCCCGCUGUUCUGACGGUACCCAAAGAAUAAGCACCGGCUAACUUCGUG